CUUGGAGCUCUGUAAGAUAUUCGCUAUAUGACCAUGCACUGCACUGUGACAUUUGAGUUAGUGACAGAGUGCACAUAAGACUACAAGGAGUGAUAAAAAUGUUCAGUGAAGACUGAAAGAUAACAAAUUACUACCUUCGAAGACACACUGCCACUAGUCUCUCUCAGAAUACCCUUCGGUUUCACACACUCAUCCCAUCGUUCUUGCCAUCUGUGAAGCAGUUCUGGAGGUUCUUUCGCAAGUGACUUCAUGGCCUGUGGUCCAAGGUGCAGAAUGCUAGAACCACACCGUCUGAUGGAAAUGCAGGCUCAUGAAAAGCAUUUCACUGUGUCCUCAUCCACCUUAUUCUUAGGAUCCGGCCCACAAAAGGUAAACGCUUUGAAUCAGUUCAGGACGUUGAGGCAGCCACAAGCUCACCACUGAAGUAAUUCUCAAAGGAAGACUUCUGAAACAGCGUCAGAAGUGACAAGAUGAUGGGAAAAGUAUGUUCACAGCCGGCAUCCGGCCUGCACAGUUGCUCAGCCGCAGGUUUUCGUCUGCCCCAAAGUCCGCUCCUGCUACGUGCAGAAAUGAUGCGUUGUGUCGACAGAAAAGCGCUGGGAAGUCUCUCUGGAAUGGCCGCCAUGGCGGCUGUCACUGCUCCCUUGUCCUGAUCUCCUUUACUGGCCCAGUGCACGCAUCCCCCAGCUGCUGUGGGGUUGGCGGCUAGAGGCUGACAGCUGCCCUCUGCUCCUUUGCGCAGAGAAUCACCUUUCGCUGAAGCAGAGCUGCUUUGCCUGAUAAGUCUUCCUCAAGGCCAGAGCAGUUGCACGGGCAGUUCCUCCUCAGGACUCCCUAGGAGGCUGCAGCUUGACCCUAGCUGAGGCCACAGGCUUGUUUAUCUCUUCCUGGGCCCUCCCCUGCCCCUUUGUACCCUUUCCCCUGAGAGUGUCCUUACGCCAGUGCAGUGGGCAGAAUCAGGCCAAGGUGGAUAGUAGGCUGUCCACUGAUGUUGCUGAAACGCUGUACUUUACUAGAAAAUGUGCCUGCAACUGAGGGACCCUCUCAUUUCCUGUUCUUUGGUACUGGGCUUGCAAAAACCGGAAACCGGAAAUAGACUUUGGAGUCUCUGAGUAGAUCAGUUAUGAGAAC
Molecule: long non-coding RNA, 1131 nt
Filed under: Fukomys damarensis (Damara mole-rat)
Lineage: Eukaryota; Metazoa; Chordata; Mammalia; Rodentia; Bathyergidae
Description: lncRNA (ENSFDAG00000021815.1)
Source: RNAcentral